Molecule: small RNA, 79 nt
Filed under: Xanthomonas hortorum pv. pelargonii
Lineage: Bacteria; Pseudomonadati; Pseudomonadota; Gammaproteobacteria; Lysobacterales; Lysobacteraceae
Description: sX9 sRNA
Rfam family: Xanthomonas sRNA sX9
Source: RNAcentral
AUGUACCGCAUCUCGUACACUCCGGUUCUGAGCGCGCCGCCCGCACCCACCUGACGACCGCUCGCUACCUUUGUUAGCC